This 429-nucleotide ribosomal RNA is filed under the name Pseudomonadota bacterium. Its description in RNAcentral is "Proteobacteria bacterium partial 16S ribosomal RNA". It matches the Rfam family "Bacterial small subunit ribosomal RNA", at positions 355 to 776 of the family's 1533-position model. The record is from RNAcentral. Lineage: Bacteria; Pseudomonadati; Pseudomonadota.
UGGGGAAUAUUGGAAAAUGGGCGAAAGCCUGAUCCAGCCAUGCCGCGUGUGUGAAGAAGGUCUUCGGAUUGUAAAGCACUUUAAGUUGGGAGGAAGGGCAGUAAGCGAAUACCUUGCUGUUUUGACGUUACCGACAGAAUAAGCACCGGCCAACUCUGUGCCAGCAGCCGCGGUAAUACAGAGGGUGCAAGCGUUAAUCGGAAUUACUGGGCGUAAAGCGCGCGUAGGUGGUUCGUUAAGUUGAAUGUGAAAGCCCCGGGCUCAACCUGGGAACUGCAUCCAAAACUGGCGGGCUAGAGUAGGGCAGAGGGUGGUGGAAUUUCCUGUGUAGCGGUGAAAUGCGUAGAUAUAGGAAGGAACACCAGUGGCGAAGGCGACCACCUGGGCUCAUACUGACACUGAGGUGCGAAAGCGUGGGGAGCAAACAGG